GACAGAGGUGCCGAGCGUUAGGCGGAAUCACUGGGCUUAAAGCGUGUGUAGGCGGCCCGUUAAGUGCCUCGUGAAAUCCCCCGGCUCAACCGGGGAACUGCCGGGCAUACUGGCGGGCUUGGGUCGCUCAGGGGCAGACGGAACAGGCGGUGGAGCGGUGAAAUGCGUAGAUAUCAGGAGGAACACCUGUGGCGAAAGCGGCUCACUGGACCAUAACUGACGCUGAUGCACGAAAGCUAGGGGAGCAAACAGG
Molecule: ribosomal RNA, 253 nt
Filed under: uncultured bacterium
Lineage: Bacteria
Description: partial 16S ribosomal RNA
Rfam family: Bacterial small subunit ribosomal RNA
Source: RNAcentral